Molecule: ribosomal RNA, 505 nt
Filed under: Bacillus siamensis
Lineage: Bacteria; Bacillati; Bacillota; Bacilli; Caryophanales; Bacillaceae
Description: bacterial SSU rRNA
Rfam family: Bacterial small subunit ribosomal RNA
Source: RNAcentral
UUGCUCCCUGAUGUUAGCGGCGGACGGGUGAGUAACACGUGGGUAACCUGCCUGUAAGACUGGGAUAACUCCGGGAAACCGGGGCUAAUACCGGAUGGUUGUUUGAACCGCAUGGUUCAGACAUAAAAGGUGGCUUCGGCUACCACUUACAGAUGGACCCGCGGCGCAUUAGCUAGUUGGUGAGGUAACGGCUCACCAAGGCAACGAUGCGUAGCCGACCUGAGAGGGUGAUCGGCCACACUGGGACUGAGACACGGCCCAGACUCCUACGGGAGGCAGCAGUAGGGAAUCUUCCGCAAUGGACGAAAGUCUGACGGAGCAACGCCGCGUGAGUGAUGAAGGUUUUCGGAUCGUAAAGCUCUGUUGUUAGGGAAGAACAAGUGCCGUUCAAAUAGGGCGGCACCUUGACGGUACCUAACCAGAAAGCCACGGCUAACUACCUGCCAGCAGCCGCGGUAAUACGUAGGUGGCAAGCGUUGUCCGGAAUUAAUGGGGGUAAAAGGGC